RNAcentral lists this ribosomal RNA (497 nucleotides) under uncultured bacterium. RNAcentral describes it as "partial 16S ribosomal RNA". It matches the Rfam family "Bacterial small subunit ribosomal RNA", at positions 28 to 507 of the family's 1533-position model. The record is from RNAcentral.
GAUGAACGCUGGCGGCGUGCCUAAUACAUGCAAGUCGAGCGAACAGAUGAGGAGCUUGCUCCUCUGACGUUAGCGGCGGACGGGUGAGUAACACGUGGAUAACCUACCUAUAAGACUGGGAUAACUUCGGGAAACCGGAGCUAAUACCGGAUAAUAUAUUGAACCGCAUGGUUCAAUAGUGAAAGACGGUUUUGCUGUCACUUAUAGAUGGAUCCGCGCCGCAUUAGCUAGUUGGUAAGGUAACGGCUUACCAAGGCAACGAUGCGUAGCCGACCUGAGAGGGUGAUCGGCCACACUGGAACUGAGCCACGGUCCAGACUCCUACGGGAGGCAGCAGUAGGGAAUCUUCCGCAAUGGGCGAAAGCCUGACGGAGCAACGCCGCGUGGGUGAUGAAGGUCUUCGGAUCGUAAAACUCUGUUAUUAGGGAAGAACAAAUGUGUAAGUAACUAUGCACGUCUUGACGGUACCUAAUCAGAAAGCAACGGCUAACUACGUG